AAGUCAUGUCAUGUACAACUGG
RNAcentral lists this microRNA (22 nucleotides) under Monodelphis domestica (gray short-tailed opossum). RNAcentral describes it as "mdo-miR-7388a-3p". The record is from miRBase by way of RNAcentral. Lineage: Eukaryota; Metazoa; Chordata; Mammalia; Didelphimorphia; Didelphidae.